Molecule: ribosomal RNA, 490 nt
Filed under: uncultured bacterium
Lineage: Bacteria
Description: bacterial SSU rRNA
Rfam family: Bacterial small subunit ribosomal RNA
Source: RNAcentral
UCACUUUAGGAUGAGCCCGCGGCGCAUNAGCUAGUUGGUGGGGUAAAGGCCUACCAAGGCAAUGAUGCGUAGCCGAGUUGAGAGACUGAUCGGCCACAUUGGGACUGAGACACGGCCCAAACUCCUACGGGAGGCAGCAGUAGGGAAUCUUCCACAAUGGACGCAAGUCUGAUGGAGCAACGCCGCGUGAGUGAAGAAGGUUUUCGGAUCGUAAAGCUCUGUUGUUGGUGAAGAAGGAUAGAGGCAGUAACUGGUCUUUAUUUGACGGUAAUCAACCAGAAAGUCACGGCUAACUACGUGCCAGCAGCCGCGGUAAUACGUAGGUGGCAAGCGUUGUCCGGAUUUAUUGGGCGUAAAGCGAGCGCAGGCGGAAUGAUAAGUCUGAUGUGAAAGCCCACGGCUCAACCGUGGAACUGCAUCGGAAACUGUCAUUCUUGAGUGCAGAAGAGGAGAGUGGAACUCCAUGUGUAGCGGUGGAAUGCGUAGAUAU